RNAcentral lists this transfer RNA (70 nucleotides) under Terebellides stroemii. RNAcentral describes it as "tRNA-Val". Lineage: Eukaryota; Metazoa; Annelida; Polychaeta; Terebellida; Trichobranchidae. The record is from RNAcentral.
CAAGAUAAAACACAUGGCGUGUUGUUUACUUACACUAAAUCUAUUGAUUGUUCGAUUCAAUCUAUCUUGA